UGGCAUGUAUGUUUUGUCCAGGUCAUC
Molecule: non-coding RNA, 27 nt
Filed under: Rattus norvegicus (Norway rat)
Lineage: Eukaryota; Metazoa; Chordata; Mammalia; Rodentia; Muridae
Source: RNAcentral